This 274-nucleotide ribosomal RNA is filed under the name uncultured bacterium. Its description in RNAcentral is "partial 16S ribosomal RNA". It matches the Rfam family "Bacterial small subunit ribosomal RNA", at positions 523 to 796 of the family's 1533-position model. The record is from RNAcentral.
AUACGGAGGGUGCAAGCGUUAUCCGGAUUCAUUGGGUUUAAAGGGUUCGCAGGCGGCGUAUUAAGUCAGUGGUGAAAUCCCGAGGCUCAACCUCGGAACUGCCAUUGAUACUGGUAUGCUAGAGUAUAGUUGGCGUUGGCGGAAUGUAUCAUGUAGCGGUGAAAUGCUUAGAUAUGAUACAGAACACCGAUCGCGAAGGCAGCUAACGAAACUAUAACUGACGCUCAGGAACGAAAGCGUGGGGAGCGAACAGGAUUAGAAACCCGGGUAGUCC